This 73-nucleotide transfer RNA is filed under the name Hoplosternum littorale (atipa). RNAcentral describes it as "tRNA-Thr". It matches the Rfam family "tRNA". Rfam says of the family: Transfer RNA (tRNA) molecules are approximately 80 nucleotides in length. Their secondary structure includes four short double-helical elements and three loops (D, anti-codon, and T loops). Further hydrogen bonds mediate the characteristic L-shaped molecular structure. tRNAs have two regions of fundamental functional importance: the anti-codon, which is responsible for specific mRNA codon recognition, and the 3' end, to which the tRNAs corresponding amino acid is attached (by aminoacyl-tRNA synthetases). tRNAs cope with the degeneracy of the genetic code in two manners: having more than one tRNA (with a specific anti-codon) for a particular amino acid; and 'wobble' base-pairing, i.e. permitting non-standard base-pairing at the 3rd anti-codon position. Lineage: Eukaryota; Metazoa; Chordata; Actinopteri; Siluriformes; Callichthyidae. The record is from RNAcentral.
GCCCUAGUAGCUUAACUCCUAAAGCGCCGGUCUUGUAAUCCGGAGAUUGAAGGUUAAAGUCCAUCCUAGUGCC